AUCACUUCAAAGAGUUUGUGAGUCAGUGAGAGGUCACUUGUGGUGGGGUUUUGAUCACAGAAUGAUGUGGAGACAUUGAUCUAUGUCACUGUGGUCAAUUUAGUGUCGUUUUCUAGGGACUGCCGUAUGAUUUUUCCAUUAUUUCACUGCACACAGCCCAAGAACUGAAUCAUCAAUGUUUCGAACUGGUGACAACAAGAGCUGGAGCAGGGACUGAGAACUCUGUCCUCAAAUCUGGAGCCAGAAAAAGUCAAAUUCUCAGCUGGCCACUGUAAAGAACCUGAGGUCGGCUAAGGAUGUGUACCAGAAGUCUGCUCUUAAUUAAACUGGGUGAGCGGGGAGGAACAGAAAAACCAAGAGAUGGCAGAAAUAAAUUCUCCGCAGCAUUCAAAGUAUUGAGUGUUUUCUGUGAAUAAAUAUGUUACUCUCUCUCUCUCAGUAAAGA
This is a long non-coding RNA of Chiloscyllium plagiosum (whitespotted bambooshark), 445 nucleotides long. RefSeq lists it as uncharacterized. NCBI's taxonomy places the organism in Eukaryota, Metazoa, Chordata, Chondrichthyes, Orectolobiformes, Hemiscylliidae. The record is from RefSeq and is a predicted model, not a curated record.